UGCACAGGGUUAUGAUCUUGCAUGUGAAGCCCUAGGCACAGUACCUGGACAGACCUGGCUAUCCAGUAGCACCUAUUCUAACCUUACAGGGCAGAGCCAGGUGAAACAUCAGAACAGGGAGAAGACUCUAGAAACUGAGAAUUGACUUGAAUUUGACUUAGAUUUCAACACACUUAUUAAGUAACUACUGUGCAUUGGACCUGUGCUAGUGCCAGGGACACAAAGACCAGGAUAGCACAGGCUGUUUCUCAAGAAGCUCUCAGGCUGCUGGGGGAGAAAGGCACAGGAACGAAGUGGCAGUGCCUUGUGGAGAGAAAACACUUGGCCAAAGCUCUUCACUGAGGGACCUGAAUUCAGAAGACCUGAACUGCAGCCAAGAUGCCAACCCUGUCUCUACAGCAAUGACAACCGGAGGACCCUCCCGUUUGGAAACCCUAACCUCUAUUAUGCUGAGGAACAGUUUGGUAAAUUUCACAUAAAAUGUACAUCAGACUAUAUUCUUGAAAGACAGCCAGGUCCUUCUAGUUGUGGGAUGAGGGACGCCGCCUCAACGUGGCCUGACCAGCAGUGCCAUGUCCGCGCCCAGGAUCCGAACCCUGGGCCGCCACAGCGGAGUGCGCGAACUUAACCACUUGGUCACGGAGCCUGCCCCAGAAAAAGCAUAGAAUUUGAAGAUAUAAAUUUAACUUCUGGCUCUGUUACUUCCUAACUCGUGGUCUCUUUCCUUAUCUGCCAAAUGGAAAUAACUAUAUCUACCUUAAAG
RNAcentral lists this long non-coding RNA (763 nucleotides) under Equus caballus (horse). Its description in RNAcentral is "lncRNA (ENSECAG00000034041.3)". The record is from RNAcentral. Lineage: Eukaryota; Metazoa; Chordata; Mammalia; Perissodactyla; Equidae.